Long non-coding RNA from Mesocricetus auratus (golden hamster), 496 nucleotides. RefSeq lists it as uncharacterized. The record is from RefSeq and is a predicted model, not a curated record. Lineage: Eukaryota; Metazoa; Chordata; Mammalia; Rodentia; Cricetidae. The transcript has 3 exons.
GCUGAGCCUGGUGCUCUAGAACCUUAGGCCAAGCAACAUCACACUGUCCUGUUGUCUUGACAACCAACCUCAGCAUCUCUGAGCUGAGUGUCAUUCUCUUAUAUCUCUCCCCAUCAGAGCAAAUCAACAACUAAUCCUGGAACUAAUCUUGUACACUCAGAAAGGUCGUUGCUGAGUGGAGGGGGGGGGUCAGAAGAGUUGCUCUCAGCUAUCUUGUGUUAAAAUGGCGCCGGACCAGGUUUGGAGCCUGGGCAUCUAUGGAGCACAGCCACACUCCUCUCCCAGAUGAAGUGAGGAAUCUCACAAGGCUGAUCACUUCCUUUACGAUGCAGAUGCUCCACCCUCCUGUAUCCCAUGAGCUAGUCCUGUCAGGUCCCUGGGGACCUACCCUAGUCAGCUGCCCAAUGACCAGAAUGUGAUUCCCCAGGAAAAAGAAGAUGGAAGGAAAGAAGCAAUUCCAAGUUGUCCUCUGACGUCCCUGUGUAAGUGAACACAC